GAUGAACGCUGGCGGCGUGCCUAAUACAUGCAAGUCGAGCGAACAGACGAGGAGCUUGCUCCUCUGACGUUAGCGGCGGACGGGUGAGUAACACGUGGAUAACCUACCUAUAAGACUGGGAUAAAUUCGGGAAACCGGAGCUAAUACCGGAUAAUAUAUUGAACCGCAUGGUUCAAUAGUGAAAGACGGUUUUGCUGUCACUUAUAGAUGGAUCCGCGCCGCAUUAGCUAGUUGGUAAGGUAACGGCUUACCAAGGCAACGAUGCGUAGCCGACCUGAGAGGGUGAUCGGCCACACUGGAACUGAGACACGGUCCAGACUCCUACGGGAGGCAGCAGUAGGGAAUCUUCCGCAAUGGGCGAAAGCUUGACGGAGCAACGCCGCGUGAGUGAUGAAGGUCUUCGGAUCGUAAAACCCUGUUAUUAGGGAAGAACAAAUGUGUAAGUAACUAUGCACGUCUUGACGGUACCUAAUCAGAAAGCCACGGCUAACUACGUG
This 497-nucleotide ribosomal RNA is filed under the name uncultured bacterium. Its description in RNAcentral is "partial 16S ribosomal RNA". It matches the Rfam family "Bacterial small subunit ribosomal RNA", at positions 28 to 507 of the family's 1533-position model. The record is from RNAcentral.